RNAcentral lists this ribosomal RNA (255 nucleotides) under uncultured bacterium. Its description in RNAcentral is "partial 16S ribosomal RNA". It matches the Rfam family "Bacterial small subunit ribosomal RNA", at positions 524 to 776 of the family's 1533-position model. The record is from RNAcentral.
GACAGAGGUGCCAAGCGUUAGGCGGAAUCACUGGGCUUAAAGCGUGUGUAGGCGGAUCGUUAAGUACCUUGUGAAAUCCCACGGCUCAACCGUGGAACUGCUGGGUAUACUGGCGAUCUUGAGCCACCUAGGGGCGAGCGGAACAAGCGGUGGAGCGGUGAAAUGCGUAGAUAUCGCUUGGAACGCCAAUGGUGAAAACAGCUCGCUGGGGUGUGGCUGACGCUGGAGACACGAAAGACCAGGGGAGCGAACGGG